GGUGAAUGCUGGCGGCGUGGAUAAGUCAUGCAAGUCAAGGGGGCCCGCAAGGGCAACCGGCAAACGAGGUAGUAACACGUAGGUAGACCCCCCAGAGUCGGGCAUAGCCAGCCGAAAGGUUGGGUAAUUCCCGAUAGUCCCGAAAGGGUAGAGGUUUUUCGCUCUGGGAGUUGCCUGCGUAGUAUCAGCUAGUUGGUAGGGUAAUGGCCUACCAAGGCUACGACGCUUAGGGGAGCUGAGAGGCUGACCCCCACCGAUGGAACUGCGACACGGUCCAUACUCCUACGGGAGGCUGCAGACGAGAAUAUUCCGCAAUGGGCGAAAGCCUGACGGAGCGACGCCGCGUGAUUGAUGAAGUGCUUCGGUACGUAAAGAUCUUUUAUCGGGGACGAAGUUUAUUGACGGUACCCGAUGAAUAAGGGGCUCCUAACUCUGUGCCAGCAG
Molecule: ribosomal RNA, 444 nt
Filed under: uncultured bacterium
Lineage: Bacteria
Description: bacterial SSU rRNA
Rfam family: Bacterial small subunit ribosomal RNA
Source: RNAcentral